Molecule: long non-coding RNA, 629 nt
Organism: Xenia sp. Carnegie-2017
Lineage: Eukaryota; Metazoa; Cnidaria; Anthozoa; Malacalcyonacea; Xeniidae
Exons: 6
Source: RefSeq, a predicted model, not a curated record
ACGAGUUGAUUGAUGCGAACAUCGUUUGCUACGUAAAGCUCGAUAUGUGCCAGUGAAAGUAUGUCAAGAUAAAUCGAUGGAGAAAGUAGCUUUGCUGAUGAACAAGAAAUCAACUUUUCAGAUGAAGUGGAGUUCAGUGUAGUCGAGGAUCACGUGUCCGGAAGGCUGAAUGCGAUUCGUGUGAGAAUCUUACCACGGGGAAACAUAACUCUCCAGGAAAAAGUCUCAAACCUCAGAGAUUGGAUGUUGUGUGUUCAUUAAAGUGUUAUAGCUGUACGUAUUGUAUGUGGGUCAAAUCACACGUCAUUUACACAUCGGAUUUUCGUAGCAUAUGAGAAUAUAUCCAUUUGAAGUAAUAGGAGUGCUGAGCUGGCUAACGGCAGUCUGUUAUCUAAUUAUAUGUACAGCAGAAAGUUUCUCAGCAAAGUGGACCUUUGGUAUGUUUCCUUUACUAUGACUUAACAUCUGUCCAAGGCAGUUCUAUUCAACUCUUUUAAUUUCACUAUAUUUUGCUUCCUAACUUCGUAAUUUAUAUAAUCUAUUUGACACCGUCUCAUUUUGUAUUCUAACACCUUAUGUAAAUAUGAUUAUUUCUCAUAACAUCCUAUUAAGCAUGCAAUGCUACCCAA